UGUGUCUUUUGGUUAGGCCAUGUAGCGCCUGAGUCGAUGUGAAGUUGAUCUGUAGGAUGCCGGUGUAGUACUAGCUUCAGUUCAAGUUUAUAUUGACUCAGGCGCUACAUGGCCUAACCAAAUGACACA
Non-coding RNA from Xyrichtys novacula (pearly razorfish), 129 nucleotides. Lineage: Eukaryota; Metazoa; Chordata; Actinopteri; Labriformes; Labridae. The record is from the annotation of a GenBank genome assembly.